This 253-nucleotide ribosomal RNA is filed under the name uncultured bacterium. RNAcentral describes it as "partial 16S ribosomal RNA". It matches the Rfam family "Bacterial small subunit ribosomal RNA", at positions 524 to 776 of the family's 1533-position model. The record is from RNAcentral.
UACGUAGGUGGCAAGCGUUAUCCGGAAUUACUGGGCGUAAAGCGCACGCAGGCGGUCUUUUAAGUUUGACGUGAAAGCUCCCGGCUUAACUGGGAGAGGUCGUUGAAUACUGGAAGACUUGAGGCAAUGAGAGGGGUGUAGAAUUCCCGGUGUAGUGGUGAAAUGCGUAGAGAUCCGGAGGAACACCAGAGGCGCAGGCGGCUUGCUGGGUCUGUAUUGACGCUCAGACACGAAAGCAUGGGGAGCGAACGGG